AAUGACGAUUUAAAAUAUUCGUAUAACGCGAAUGAUUAGACAAUUGCAGUGCGAUCUAUCGGCGUAUUAUUCAACUCUUUUGGGUGCUUGCGGAAUAACAACCCUGGCUGCGCUACUGUAUUGGUUUUUACUUUAAUUUUCAGAUUUCUGAUUUUCUUAUCUGGCAAUCCCAAAUCAUAGAAAGUUACUAAGUUCACAUUUUCACAAUCACAACACUAUAUUUUGCUAUGUACUGGGCUAAAGUCAAAUCAUAAGCGUACUCGCAAUGGCAGUAGGAUGUGCUGGGCCACAAUAAAAUACUCGAUAAAAACUCGAUUAGUUAUCGACAAAGCGCAUUCAAUUACCAAGCUCAUUUUUGCUGUUUUUAAAUAAAUCUUUUUUUAGUACAGACUACAGUAUAAUAUUACCAUUAUUAUUAUUAACAUCCACAUAAGAGAUUGAUUAUGACGUGGCCAUAGAUUAGAAUACCUUAAAUAAUAUUAGAAUUUAGAAUAACCUGGACGUGACGUAUAUCCAUUUAUAUAAUUGAUCAAAAACUAAAAAUAACUAUAGGAUUUUCCGUAUCCCGUCAUAACGAUGCAUUACGUAGAACACUGAUGGUAAUUGGUAAUAUUAAUUUCAUUACCGCCGAACCUCAAUCACACUAAUCACAGUAAAUACUAAAUAGUAAAUACUUUAAAAUCGAUUGACGAUUUUUAAAUUUGUCACGUGGCUUUUGAUGUUUUUGCAAACUAGGUAGUCAGUAGUGCAGUAGGUAGUCGCUAUUCACUAUUUCACUAGUCAGUCUCUAGUUGCGUUCGUUAGUCGCGUAUACUAUUAUUUAACGAUAUUCUGUUGUUUAAAUGUUAACGCUUAAGUAAUUUAUUUUUAUUUUUAAUUGUAUUGAAAUGUAUAAGAUAAUAUGUAUUCAAAUGAAAAAUCGAUUUCGGAAGUCCAGAACUAACUUUGUUUAUGGGAUAUGAGUUCUAGACACAAUGGUGAUGAUGAUUUAAAAAAUGCAUGUUGAAUAAUGGCAGCGGAGGUAUUAUGUUCUAAAAAUUGGAAUAAUUUUCAAAUAAAAGAAAAAGAUUAGAAGCAUAGAAGUUCAUUCAAACAUUACCAGACUAAUCACAAAAUUGCAAAAUGUUGGUAUUUUGCCAACAAGACAUAAAUAUCUACGUGGACAUAAAGAAACUAGUGAAAGAUCAAUCUAUAAUAGACAAUUAAAAGUGGAUUUGUUGAGAAAAAGUUGGUGGUAAAAAGGAAAAAACUAAAAAGACAUGCAAUUACAGGUUUGUUAAUUUGUGGUCAACGAACUGCAAAUUUCCAGCUAUCAAACUACAAUCAAGGACCAAAAGAAAAAACUUACUGGUCGUCCAUUGUCAAGAAGUGACAUAUGACAGAUGGUUAUCAAUAAAAACAUUUGGGUGGAUAUGGGCACAUCGUUGAAAUUGAUGAAUCCAAAUUUGGACGUCGGAAGAAUCACAGUGGUUAUAGAGUUGAAGGGCAAUGGGCGUUUGGAGGCUAUAGUCUUGGUUGAGAACCAUAAUGCCACAACCUUUCUAGCCGUCAUUAAUGAAUGGAUAAAACCCGGGACAACAAUAAUCUCAGAUUGUUGGAAAGCUUACAAUACCUACCUUAAAUGAUGAAGGCUAUACUCAGAUGAUUGUGAACCAUAGCCUCCACUUAAAAGAUCCAGUGCAGGUGUGUAUUCAAACACCAUAGAAAGUGCAUGGAAAUUGGAGACAUUCCAAACAAUCAAUAUAUGGUUUACACAUCACCUUACGAUGUCUUCAGGACCACCGGUAGUCUGCGGACGAUAGGUUGAGAACCUCAACAUUAACAUCCUGAUGACUGUAAUAAUAUAUACUUAAACAUCAAUAUUUUUAAAUUUUUAAAAAGAUGUAAAACUCAAAGACAUAAUCCAAACAAUAUCAAAAAAUGAGUGCUGAAUUAAAGCUGUAUACAAUUGCCAAUUAUACAAUAAUAUUAUGUAGCCGUGUUUAAUACUAAGUUAUAACAUUUCAUUAUAUAUUAUGAGUAUAUGACAAAUGGAAUUUACAUCGUUUUUUAAAACAGCAUAAUUACAUUUUCCUUUUUUGACCAAAAGAACAUUUAGAACAUAAACCACUAUUUUGGGAUAAUUCACUAGCUGUUUAUAAGUGUUGUGUUUUUGUUGUUUAAGUCCACACAGCUGCUUACUCGACAUCUUCCUCUCUCGGCCUAACAAACGCAAACGCAACCAACCACCCGACUUAACUACAGUAUAAUAAUAUGACACUCGACUACAGUCUACAAAAUACCUAUAAUAUGUAUAUACAUCAUAUACAUUGUAUAGUUUGUGCGCAAACGUUGCAGGGAGCAAAAUGACCGGAAUGGGCGUAAUUCGAUUUGGGCGGAAAAAGUCCGAAUAACUGUAUAUAUGCGGUACGUCAAAGGGUAUAAGUAUAUACGAAUCUCUAGGGACGAAAAAGGGUUACGAAGACCGUGAUACAAUAAUAAUAAUAAUAUAGACAGCACCAGUCCUACGCAUAUUAUAAAAAGUGUUUGAAAUUAUCCGACAUCGGCUCUUGUCGACUAUGUAUAAGUAAACACUAAAGACUUGUAUGAUGCGCAUAAGAAGUAUAGUUUUGUUUCAAUAUGAAAACAACUCUUAAUAACUCUUGUUGACUUGUAGUAGGAUCACGUAUUUUUUUGUCUAUUCGUUGGACCUUCUCACGCUCAAAAUAUUUUAAUGGAUUGUGGAUUACGAUAAUUUAUUUACCUAUCUGUUUAUUAACUAAUAGGUAUCGACUAUUAUAUAUACAAAAUGUAAAAAGUACAUGUUUCGUAUAACGACGAGGACGUACUCAAGAUUAUAUGUGGCUAGAAUGAGGUACUUACUACUUAAUCAAAUUAAGUAAUUAAUUAAUUUUAUUUUUCUCGCCAUGCUAGACGACAUCUAAAACGUUUAUGAAAGCCAAUAAUAAAAAUAAUAAAAUGAAAAAAAUAACGAACGGAAAAUAAAAUAACUAAUUUUUAUAUAUUUAUAUUCUAUAUAACUUUUAUAAUGACGUUUUUAAAGAUUAUGAAAAUAAAAUAAUAACUAAUUAAUAAAUAACUGUGAAUUUAUAUUUUAUAUUUUUUGUUACCGGAAAUUUUUUAACAGGAUAUUUUUGGUACAAAUUAUUUUUGAACCGGAUAUAAUUUAAGAGAAAGCCUAAGUGUUAAGGUUAACACUAGAGAACAUUUGACUUGAGGAUUUUGGCGAGGAAAUAGAAUCCUAAAAAAGCAAAUCAUGGACUUGUUUUAAUGUGGCAAAGCCUAGCUGAGAAUUUUGUACAGCCUAUAGCAGUGUUUGCCUCACAUGGUCCUGUGAAAGGAAUUAAUCUUGCCACAUAAAUUAUUAAAUCCAUAAUUGUAAUUGAAAAGACUGUAUGUCCAAUAGUUGGUAUUACGAGCGAUGGAAUAACAACCAAUGGUAAUGUAUGGUCUAUUCUAGAGGUAAUUUUUUAAUACAUUUCUAUAUUUUAAACUUGAUUCUAUAUGACUAUAUAUGGAUACUAUUUAGUAUGAAUUAAUUCAUUUGAACAGGUAUAAGGGAAAUAAGACAACUAAUGCAAUUUUUUUGAAAAUCCUUUUGAUACAAUAACAAGAAAAGUCUAUGUUUUUUCUGAUGUGUCCCAUUUGAUGAAAAUAACUCAAAAUAAAUUAUUCACAAAUAAAGAAUUAAGAGCAGGCGCUGAUCCAUCAAUAUAUUUGUGGUUGGAUCAAUUUAAACCAGAGGAGUAUUAUAGAAAUUUAUUUAAAAUAGAAAAUAAUAAUAUUAUAAAAGUAUGCCGCCCAAAACUGACUAAAAUGAAUUGAACAAUUUUUCAAAGAUGAAGGUUAAAUUUGCAGUUCAGGUCUUUAGCAAAUCGAUGGCAGUAGGUAAUGAAUUAUAUAGGAAUAAAAACUAUGACUGUUUUAAGGGAUGAGAAGGGACUGUAGCAUUAACAAAAACAACAAAUGAUAAGUUUAAUGCAUUAAAUAGAGACAUACGGCUGAAGAAAUUAAAAGAAAUAGUCAUGAUUCGAAGGUAUUUAAUAAUGUUAUACACUGGUUGAAUGAAUGGAAAUUUGGAAAAAGGACUAAUUAAAGAAAGAGAAUUCCUAACGAAACCAUUUAGUGAGGGACUACAGAUCACUUUAACUUCAACAAUACAGUUGGUAGAAUACCUUUUAAAUGAAUGUGGUUUUAGUUAGGUAUGUCUUAACUGAAAAAUGUAAUCAAGACUCACUAGAAGUAAUUAAAUUAUCUUUAUUAGAAAUUUUUUGGAAUCAUUAGACAAGUCUCAGGUCCUAAUGACCAUCCCACAGCACCAACUUUUCUAAAGCUAUAUUGUAUGCUUUCAGUCUAUUCUGUUAUAAAACUCCCUAAAACAGGAAAUCAUACAAUAUUUGAAGGUGAAAAAUGAAAUUUUUAAGUUAUAAACAAAAAUAAUAUAUUUCAUAUUAUAAUCAAUACUACUGAAUAAAUCUUUUUUCUUUUAUA
Long non-coding RNA from Aphis gossypii (cotton aphid), 4491 nucleotides. RefSeq lists it as uncharacterized. The transcript has 12 exons. The record is from RefSeq and is a predicted model, not a curated record. NCBI's taxonomy places the organism in Eukaryota, Metazoa, Arthropoda, Insecta, Hemiptera, Aphididae.